GAAGGGACUUCAGACGUUCAACUUCCUCAUGUUAUAGAGGAAACUGAGGCACAUAGCAUGGAUUCUAGAGCUAGAGCUCUAAGGGACCUCAGAGGUCACCCAGUACAAGUUCCUCAUCUUACAAGUGGAAAAAAGUCACAUUAAGUCCGAGCGAGACAGAGCAAAGGGGACCUUGGAAAUAGAUCAUGUAGGCCAAGGAUUCUUACUGUCCAGAAAAACACGGGCUGCUUGGACAGUUGGGAGAAUCCUACACUCCCACCCUCCUCAGACUGAUGUUCAUCACCUACAUUCAUCCUUGAAAGAAAUGCUUCAUUUCAGUUACAGGUCAAUGACAUGGAAGAUACCAUUUUUUUUCCCUCACUGAGAUAACUUUUGUCUGGUCCAAUCCAACACUCUCAUGUUACAAAAAGGGAAACAGACCUAGAUAGGUUAAGGGCUAUUUCAAUUAGAGGUUAAUGACAUCUUUUUCUGAGAUAAUUUUUGUCUGAUCUAAUCCAACGGUCUCAUUUUAUGAACAGGAAAACCGACACCUAGAGAGGUUAAGUGGUGUCCUUACUACGCAGGUAGUGAGUGCCAGCGCCUCAACUUUAAUCCAGGGUCUCUGGAUUCAGAUUAGGGUCUCCCUACCAAACCCACUGCUUCCCACAUUUGGUGGCCCCCCUCUCCAUGAUCAGCCUCUGGGCUCGGCAAUUUACUUUUCCUACAAAGGGAUCUUAUUGGAUCUUCAAUAGGGCAGGUGAGCUUAGUUCAGGGGCUGAGAAAUACAAAGCCCUUUGGGCUUUACCUUGGUUCACUUUGGAACCAAGGCCUUUAACGCAUAUGAAUUAUUGAUGGCUUUCAAGGCCUUGUUUGAAUUCCUUUGCGCUUUGAAAAAAUUUGGGAAUGAACCUGACUUCUGCCUUGCUGCUUUCACGGAGCCAUAGAAUGUCAAAGCUGAGAGGAUCUCAAAAGUUCUCUUUUCUCACCCUCAUUUGUCAAAAGGCCGAGGGAGGUUGGAGUUAUAGAUCUGGAUACUGAAAAAUAGCCAGUGCGCUCUAUGUGUGAAAGAAAAGCUUUAAAAAAAAAAAAAAACUUUUCUGUUUAAAUAUAUAUUUACAGUUAGAAACUCCCCCUGUCAAAUCCUCUUUAAAUUCCCAAUGAGAAAAUUCAUAAGCCUCCUUUCUCUUUACUAAGAGAAACUCAGAUUUCAAUUGAGUCAUCAGGGAAGGCGGAGGCUGGCUUGUGAUUUUAUACAGGGCAGUUAUUGUGAGCAUUUAGAAAACCUCCCUGCUUAGGAGUGAAAUUUAUGAUGUUUGCCAGGUUAAUCUGCUUUCUCUAAUCGGACUCUUAAUCAUCCAGUCUCCUCCCUGUGAUAUGGAUUCAUGAAUGUGAAUGGGGCGGGCUGCACAGUCAAGGGAAGAUGAUAAAUUGUCUUUUCGUUUGGGGGGCAUUUAUGAUUAAAAGGUUCAUAAUAGAAUUAAAAUGAAAUAAGUCCUGUAAUUUUACUGCUCUGUUCCUGCCAGGUAUGAAUAAAAAGGGCUGGGCUCAGAAAAAUGCCGUUCAGAUGGAGAGUGGAAACUGUAGGAGACAUGAAGAAAGGAGGCUUUGUGCUUUCUGAAAGCAGGAGGGAGACUGGAGAGUGGGUGGGUGGUGUUAAGUACCCCGUGCUGAGCUGUGGAGGAACUACAGGGAAUUCAAAUGACCACAGAGGGAGAAUGAGAAAUUAGCCACCGGCCACAGCUCUCCUCAGUGGAUGCGACUGGGGAGGACUGGGUGCUCCAUAAUUAUUCAGGCAAAAGCGCUCCACCUUGGCAGUCAUUGAGUUACCAUGAGUGUGUCCUUAAGUCCACUCUGGUCAGUUCCAUCAGGUGUCACACCGACACUUAGAAGAACUGAAAAGUGACUAGUUUUAUUCUAUCUGACCUCAGAACUGGGAGCGAGGGGGAGAAGAUAAAAGGGAAGCGAGUGGAGACUCCAUUGAUGAAAACUCCCAGGAUGGAAAGGGCUUCCUUGGCAGGUUCGUCUACAUAGACUGGCCAAGCGAACUGGAGAGUUCUGAUGAUCCCCUUCCCCAUCUGCUAUUGAGGGAUUGGGGUGUGGGGAACUGCAAGGUUCGUAUGGGGUGUCCCUAUUGAUUAGUUUCCUUAUGUAAACCUUUUUCUUCUUUAAUCUGCAGGUGAGAGGGAUCCAGAAUCAGGAGAGCAAAUCAGAUCUCCUGGGGAAUUGAUUAUAAAAUGUACCACCUGUUACAUGCUAUCAAUUGUUCUAUCUCAGCCAAAAGGUGGUUGGUCAAGUCCCUAUGGGAAUUGAGAGGAAAGAGGACUGAUCAAAGCUUGAAAAACUGAGUGGCGAGCACCAGGGGAGGAGAGAUGGGGGAGUACACACCUGUCUCGGAGUUUCCCAGCCUGGUGAGAGGUGCCCGGAUAGCCCUCUCCUCUCUCUGUUGAAGAAAUCUUACCUUUAUCUGAUGAAGUGAAACCUAGAAACACCCUCUGAAGGCACUUGCCAGUCACUUGGGCACUGGAGAUGAGGGGGACAGGAUCACUCCUCCUACGGCUGUGCUGUGCUGAGCAAGGACACGGGGCAGCUUUAGCCCCCGUGCAGCGAUCCGGCAUCCUCGGGGCCUCCAGGAGCAGGGAUUAUAGACAUGGAGCAUCAUGACAGGCAAGCAGCUCACACCCUGUAGUAGGGGACCUGAAGGAGGGCUGGGAAGUGGAGGGAGCGCAGAGCUGCUGACAUGCCUGGUGGGAAACAGCAAAUGCUUGGGAGGGAGACCCAUGGUCAUCUGGAGGGUCUUGGAAAUGGCAUAAAAAUGUAUCUGGGCCAGACUGAUUGAAGGCUCACUUUUACCACAGUAAAACACUCCAGGGGUCUUAAUGACUAUCGAUCGGCAAGAAAGAUUUCCUCCCAGGAGGCAUUUAUGUCACAAGGAGCGGUCGAACUAAAGGGUACAAGUGAAAGACCAAACCUCCCGCUUCAGGGGGGCCGCAGAGAGCUGCCUGCUGUCUCCAAGGUACUCUGGCAAUAUGGAACAGAAGCAGGGUUUAUUUAACUCGGAUUCUCUGACCCAAGGUUCACUGCUUUUUGUCCAGUGAGAGGAAAUGAGUUCCUGGGGGCUGAGUUUGGGCUAGAGGAGACUAAGGGUCCAAACCUCCUUUUUCCUUUUCCUUUUGGUUAUGGGUUGUAUAAAUUUGGUAAGAAACCACUUUAAAUGCAAGAUAGCAUGUAGAAUUUAACAACCAAGCCCAGCAAAUGAAACACGUAGAAUUGGGGGCUGUAUGUCCCAAUGGAAAGAUCAGGGUACAGUCUCCGAGCCCUGGCAUGUACCACAGCCUAGGACUCCCCCCAUCCCUGACCCUAAUGCCCUCAUCCAUACAAUGAAAAGGUCGGAGCGAUCAAGUGUUCUCUUUCUGAAAAGCUUUUAAAUAAAAACAGAACAAAACCAAAAA
This is a long non-coding RNA of Antechinus flavipes (yellow-footed antechinus), 3428 nucleotides long. RefSeq lists it as uncharacterized. The transcript has 2 exons. Lineage: Eukaryota; Metazoa; Chordata; Mammalia; Dasyuromorphia; Dasyuridae. The record is from RefSeq and is a predicted model, not a curated record.